Molecule: long non-coding RNA, 292 nt
Organism: Ixodes scapularis (black-legged tick)
Lineage: Eukaryota; Metazoa; Arthropoda; Arachnida; Ixodida; Ixodidae
Exons: 5
Source: RefSeq, a predicted model, not a curated record
AGCCAAGUUGGAAGCCCCUCUGCACUGAUAACCGGACCAACAAGGCCAGCACCUGUGCCUAACCGUGACAGCCAAGUUGGAAGCCCCUCUGCACUGACAACCGGACCAACAAGGCAAGCACCUGUUCCUAACCAUGACAGCCAAGUUGGAAGCCCCUCUGCAGCUCACUGCUGCAGGUGCUCUGCUCCUCGUGCAACUGUUGGCACACAAACAGAGGCGACAGAUGCAGACACUGCAGAUUCUGUCAUACCCGUGUCUGCACAGGUCAACCCUGGGUGCAAUGCGGCUGCCC